GAGGCUUUGCCAGGUUCGGCCGCCGAAAGUGAGGAUCGGCCGCCGAACAUGGUGGGGUUUUGGGAGCGCUUUAGGCCUCCGAAAGCCUUGUUUGAAAGACUCAAGGUUCGGCCGCCGAACCUCAUGUUCGGCCGCCGAACAUGCAUGAGAUGUGGGGGCACGUUAGGCCGCCGAAAGGUGACAGAACCUGCCCUAUAAGAGACCCCGUGACCGAAACAGGCGAGGUUUUCUCUCCCAUUUCGGCCGACGGUAAGCUUUAGCCCUCCUAUGGUCAUUUUAAGUGUUUUCCCUCAAAUCCUUUAGAUCUUAACAAGUUACAUCUUGUUUUUGAAGAGUUUCAAAGUUUAAGCAAGUUUUGGAGCUUUGAGGUUCAAGAACUCGAAUCUCCCCAUUUUCAAGCUAGGAUCGUUUCUCUCUCGAUCUUCAAGAGGUAAGAGCCGAUCUCUAGUUCUAUAUGUGUUUUAAGUAAGUUUUAUGCAAGUUUUUGGGGUAGAAAUGCAUGAGUAGGCUUGAUGGGUUUUUAUGAAAAAUCCAUGGUUUUAAUGUGUGUUUAUGUGCAAUGUGGCUUGCUUGUGUGUUGUANNNNN
This 587-nucleotide long non-coding RNA is filed under the name Manihot esculenta (cassava). Its description in RNAcentral is "long non-coding RNA (MESC_LNC009163)". Lineage: Eukaryota; Viridiplantae; Streptophyta; Magnoliopsida; Malpighiales; Euphorbiaceae. The record is from RNAcentral.